GAUGAACGCUGGCGGCGUGCCUAAUACAUGCAAGUCGAGCGAACAGAUGAGGAGCUUGCUCCUCUGACGUUAGCGGCGGACGGGUGAGUAACACGUGGAUAACCUACCUAUAAGACUGGGAUAACUUCGGGAAACCGGAGCUAAUACCGGAUAAUAUAUUGAACCGCAUGGUUCAAUAGUGAAAGACGGUUUUGCUGUCACUUAUAGAUGGAUCCGCGCUGCAUUAGCUAGUUGGUAAGGUAACGGCUUACCAAGGCAACGAUGCAUAGCCGACCUGAGAGGGGGAUCGGCCACACUGGAACUGAGACACGGUCCAGACUCCUACGGGAGGCAGCAGUAGGGAAUCUUCCGCAAUGGGCGAAAGCCUGACGGAGCAACGCCGCGUGGGUGAUGAAGGUCUUCGGAUCGUAAAACUCUGUUAUUAGGGAAGAACAAAUGUGUAAGUAACGAUGCACGUCUGGACGGUACCUAAUCAGAAGGCCACGGCAAACUACGG
RNAcentral lists this ribosomal RNA (496 nucleotides) under uncultured bacterium. Its description in RNAcentral is "partial 16S ribosomal RNA". It matches the Rfam family "Bacterial small subunit ribosomal RNA", at positions 28 to 506 of the family's 1533-position model. The record is from RNAcentral.